RNAcentral lists this small RNA (125 nucleotides) under Marmota monax (woodchuck). Lineage: Eukaryota; Metazoa; Chordata; Mammalia; Rodentia; Sciuridae. The record is from RNAcentral.
GCUGGGUGUGGUGGUGCACGCCUGUAAUCCCAGCAGCUCUGGAGGCUGAGAUAGGAGGAUUGCAGGUUCAAAGCCAGCUUCAGCAACAGUGAGUCGCUAACCAACUCAGUGAGACCCUCUCUCUA